GGAGAGAUGGCUGAGCGGUUGAAGGCGCACGACUGGAACUCGUGUGUAGGCUAACCCCUACCGAGGGUUCGAAUCCCUCUCUCUCCG
This 87-nucleotide transfer RNA is filed under the name Pseudoalteromonas xiamenensis. RNAcentral describes it as "Pseudoalteromonas sp. Y2 tRNA". It matches the Rfam family "tRNA". Rfam says of the family: Transfer RNA (tRNA) molecules are approximately 80 nucleotides in length. Their secondary structure includes four short double-helical elements and three loops (D, anti-codon, and T loops). The record is from Rfam by way of RNAcentral. Lineage: Bacteria; Pseudomonadati; Pseudomonadota; Gammaproteobacteria; Alteromonadales; Pseudoalteromonadaceae.